GUGGUUUUAGCUCAGUUGGUUAGAGCGUCUGAUUGUGGUUCAGAAGGUCGUGGGUUCGAGCCCCAUAUUCCACCCGA
RNAcentral lists this transfer RNA (77 nucleotides) under Bacteroidetes bacterium HGW-Bacteroidetes-9. Its description in RNAcentral is "tRNA-His". It matches the Rfam family "tRNA". Rfam says of the family: Transfer RNA (tRNA) molecules are approximately 80 nucleotides in length. Their secondary structure includes four short double-helical elements and three loops (D, anti-codon, and T loops). Lineage: Bacteria; Pseudomonadati; Bacteroidota. The record is from RNAcentral.